RNAcentral lists this ribosomal RNA (550 nucleotides) under uncultured bacterium. RNAcentral's name for it is "bacterial SSU rRNA". It matches the Rfam family "Bacterial small subunit ribosomal RNA", at positions 355 to 896 of the family's 1533-position model. The record is from RNAcentral.
UAGGGAAUCUUCGGCAAUGGGGGCAACCCUGACCGAGCAACGCCGCGUGAGUGAAGAAGGUUUUCGGAUCGUAAAGCUCUGUUGUAAGUCAAGAACGAGUGUGAGAGUGGAAAGUUCACACUGUGACGGUAGCUUACCAGAAAGGGACGGCUAACUACGUGCCAGCAGCCGCGGUAAUACGUAGGUCCCGAGCGUUGUCCGGAUUUAUUGGGCGUAAAGCGAGCGCAGGCGGUUUGAUAAGUCUGAAGUUAAAGGCUGUGGCUCAACCAUAGUUCGCUUUGGAAACUGUUAAACUUGAGUGCAGAAGGGGAGAGUGGAAUUCCAUGUGUAGCGGUGAAAUGCGUAGAUAUAUGGAGGAACACCGGUGGCGAAAGCGGCUCUCUGGUCUGUAACUGACGCUGAGGCUCGAAAGCGUGGGGGGCGAACAGGAUUAGAUACCCUGGUAGUCCACGCCGUAAACGAUGAGUGCUAGGUGUUGGAUCCUUUCCGGGAUUCAGUGCCGCAGCUAACGCAUUAAGCACUCCGCCUGGGGAGUACGACCGCAAGGUUG